UCGAGCGAGUCUGCCUUGAAGAUCGGAGUGCUUGCACUCUGUGAAACAAGAUACAGGCUAGCGGCGGACGGGUGAGUAACACGUGGGUAACCUGCCCAAGAGAUCGGGAUAACACCUGGAAACAGAUGCUAAUACCGGAUAACAACAGAUGAUGCCUAUCAACUGUUUAAAAGAUGGUUCUGCUAUCACUCUUGGAUGGACCUGCGGUGCAUUAGCUAGUUGGUAGGGUAACGGCCUACCAAGGCGAUGAUGCAUAGCCGAGUUGAGAGACUGAUCGGCCACAUUGGGACUGAGACACGGCCCAAACUCCUACGGGAGGCAGCAGUAGGGAAUCUUCCACAAUGGACGCAAGUCUGAUGGAGCAACGCCGCGUGAGUGAAGAAGGGUUUCGGCUCGUAAAGCUCUGUUGUUGGUGAAGAAGGACAGGGGUAGUAACUGACCUUUGUUUGACGGUAAUCAAUUAGAAAGUCACGGCUAACUACGUGCCAGCAGCCGCGGUAAUACGUAGGUGGCAAGCGUUGUCCGGAUUUAUUGGGCGUAAAGCGAGUGCAGGCGGCUCGAUAAGUCUGAUGUGAAAGCCUUCGGCUCAACCGGAGAAUUGCAUCAGAAACUGUCGAGCUUGAGUACAGAAGAGGAGAGUAGAACUCCAUGUGUAGCGGUGAAAUGCGUAGAUAUAUGGAAGAACACCGGUGGCGAAGGCGGCUCUCUGGUCUGUUACUGACG
RNAcentral lists this ribosomal RNA (723 nucleotides) under uncultured bacterium. RNAcentral's name for it is "bacterial SSU rRNA". It matches the Rfam family "Bacterial small subunit ribosomal RNA", at positions 62 to 745 of the family's 1533-position model. The record is from RNAcentral.